Molecule: ribosomal RNA, 504 nt
Filed under: uncultured bacterium
Lineage: Bacteria
Description: partial 16S ribosomal RNA
Rfam family: Bacterial small subunit ribosomal RNA
Source: RNAcentral
AUUGAACGCUGGCGGCAGGCCUAACACAUGCAAGUCGAACGGUAGCACAGAGAGCUUGCUCUUGGGUGACGAGUGGCGGACGGGUGAGUAAUGCCUGGGAAACUGCCCGAUGGAGGGGGAUAACUACUGGAAACGGUAGCUAAUACCGCAUAACGUCGCAAGACCAAAGUGGGGGACCUUCGGGCCUCACACCAUCGGAUGUGCCCAGAUGGGAUUAGCUAGUAGGUGGGGUAAUGGCUCACCUAGGCGACGAUCCCUAGCUGGUCUGAGAGGAUGACCAGCCACACGAGAACUGAGACACGGUGCAGACUCCUACGGGAGGCAGCAGUGGGGAAUAUUGCACAAUGGGCGCAAGCCUGAUGCAGCCAUGCCGCGUGUAUGAAGAAGGCCUUCGGGUUGUAAAGUACUUUCAGCGAGGAGGAAGGUGUUGUAGUUAAUAGCUGCAGCAAUUGACGUUACUCGCAGAAGAAGCACCGGCUAACUCCGUGCCAGCAGCCGCCGUAA